This 493-nucleotide ribosomal RNA is filed under the name uncultured bacterium. RNAcentral describes it as "partial 16S ribosomal RNA". It matches the Rfam family "Bacterial small subunit ribosomal RNA", at positions 28 to 507 of the family's 1533-position model. The record is from RNAcentral.
GACGAACGCUGGCGGCGUGCUUAACACAUGCAAGUCGAACGGUUAAGGGACCGUUUUUUGCUGGUUCUGGAUGAGUGGCGUACGUGUGAGUAACACGUGAGUAACCUGCCCCCUUCUUCUGGAUAACCGCAUGCAAGUGUGGCUCAUACGUGAUAUUCUGCGCCUUCUGCAUGGUUGGUGUGGGACAGAUAUUGUUUCGGUUGGGUCUGGGCUGGCGGCCUAUCAGCUUGUUGGUGGGGUGAUGGCCUACCAAGGCGGUGACGGGUAGCCGGCCUGGGAGGGUGGACGGUCACAGUGGGAAGGAGACACGGACCAGACUCCUACGGGAGGCAGCAGGGGGGAAUAGUGCACAAGGGGAGGAAGCCUGAAGCAGCGACGCCGCGGGAGGGAUGGAGGCCUUCGGGUUGUAAACCUCUUUCGCCAGUGAAGCAGGGCUGUCCAUUUUGUGGGUGGGUUGACGGUAGCUGGAUAAGAAGCGCCGGCUAACUACGUG